This 384-nucleotide ribosomal RNA is filed under the name uncultured eukaryote. RNAcentral describes it as "partial 18S ribosomal RNA". It matches the Rfam family "Eukaryotic small subunit ribosomal RNA", at positions 592 to 976 of the family's 1831-position model. The record is from RNAcentral.
CAAUAGCGUAUAUUAAAGUUGUUGCGGUUAAAAAGCUCGUAGUUGGAUUUCGGCGGACAGGGGGCGGUUCGAUAUUUGUCGCUACUGCCCCAUUUGUCCGUGUUUUUGGCGGAGGUUUCAGGGUGCUCUUCACCGAGUGUCCUGGGACGCCGUCAGGUUUACUUUGAAAAAAUUAGAGUGCUCAAAGCAGGCUUUACACGCUUGAAUAUUCGUGCAUGGAAUAAUGGAAUAGGACGUCGUUUCUAUCUUGUUGGUUUUCGGAAAUCGACGUAAUGAUUAACAGGGACAGUCGGGGGCAUUAGUAUUCAGACGACAGAGGUGAAAUUCUUGGACCGUCUGAAGACUAACUACUGCGAAAGCAUUUGCCAAGAAUGUCUUCAUUAA